This 440-nucleotide ribosomal RNA is filed under the name uncultured bacterium. Its description in RNAcentral is "partial 16S ribosomal RNA". It matches the Rfam family "Bacterial small subunit ribosomal RNA", at positions 338 to 795 of the family's 1533-position model. The record is from RNAcentral.
CCUACGGGUGGCUGCAGUAGGGAAUAUUGCUCAAUGGGCGAAACCCUGAAGCAGCAACGCCGCGUGGAGGAUGAAGGUUUUAGGAUUGUAAACUCCUUUUGUGAGAGAAGAUAAUUACGUUAUCUCACGAAUAAGCACCGGCUAACCCCGUUCCAGCAGCCGCGGUAAUACGGCGGGUGCAAGCGUUACUCGGAAUCACUGUGCGUAAAGCGUGCGCAGGCGGGCUUGUAAGUCAGAUGUGAAAUCCUGUAGCUUAACUACAGAACUGCAUUUGAAACUAUGGGUCUAGAGAGUGGAAGAGGUAGGUGGAAUUAUUGGUGUAGGGGUAAAAUCCGUAGAUAUCAAGAGGAAUACGCAUAGCGAAGGCGACCUACUGGAACAUGACUGACGCUCAUGCACGAAAGCGUGGGGAGCAAACAGGAUUAGAUACCCCAGUAGUC